GCGUGGCCGAAUGGUUACGCUGUCCGCUUUGUAAGCGGAUGAUUGUGGAUUCGAUUCCCAUCUGCUGCA
RNAcentral lists this transfer RNA (69 nucleotides) under Culex quinquefasciatus (southern house mosquito). It matches the Rfam family "tRNA". From Rfam's summary of the family: Transfer RNA (tRNA) molecules are approximately 80 nucleotides in length. Their secondary structure includes four short double-helical elements and three loops (D, anti-codon, and T loops). The record is from Rfam by way of RNAcentral. Lineage: Eukaryota; Metazoa; Arthropoda; Insecta; Diptera; Culicidae.